AGGACCCUCAUGGAGCAGGGGCUCUGUGGCCAGGAAGCCCUCUGGGGGACAGAGAACACUCUCAGGCCUCUGGCCAGCACUGACACUCCUCUGCUCGCCCACAGUUUCCGCUCAGUCUAGACCGCAGCAUGCCCGGGGCCAAGCAAGAGAGCGUGUUACAGGCCACGACCAGCUGGUGAUGGGCUGCGACCCUGGGACUGUGGAAUGCGCUGGAAUAUAGAUUGGCCGUGAUCAUUGACAUUUUGCAGGAGACACACAUUUUUACCAACGGUUGUACCAGCGCUAAGCAGACAAGCCACGGGAGAUCCUGGCCUCUUGCUUCUCAGUCUGGUGCGUCCCCCUCUGAACCUUGACAUUCAAGACUGUAGCAGUGUCUUUUGGUGGUUGAAUUGGAAAAUACGCAUUUCUGGAGAAACUUUGUGGUUAUUAGACCAAGGCAACCACCAAGUAUACCUCUCCUACAUUUUCAUGUUCAGUUCAAGACCUUGAUCUUGAAUCCUCAUGAGCUUCAGCUAGUCUAUGACUGCAUUGCCAUAGACAUUCUUCUGAUGCCCACCAAACUCUGUGCUUGGAAGCUUCCAGAGGAGAAUGGACAAGUUUCCUUGGUUCCUUGUAGCUUCCCGAGGAAGGUGCUCCUGUGGCCAGAAGGGAGGAGGAAAGUGAAAAUAAUCCCCAAAGGAGCAGGGAGAGAAAGAAGGGCAUUCUUGGGACUCCAGAGAUGGCACAGGGCUCCCUGUGGGUGGCACUCAGUGCAGGCUAUCAGAUGACAUGUCACACAUUAGGAUUGGCUUCCUAUGUGCGUGUGGCCAUUCUGUGUAAGCUGAGGGCACUUGUCACAGGGUAUACAGGUGUGUGUGCGUGUGUGUAUUUAGAGUCUGAAUUCCAUGUGGAUCAGGGAAGGAGGGGUCCCUGAAAGCUUGCUAAGUGCCCACUCUGUGCCCAGCCCUGAGCUGGGACCAGCAGGGCUGCACAGGAAGGAAGGUCACAGCCUGAGGAGACGUUUCUAAGACUGAGAGCCUUUCAGAGACUCUAGGUCACUGUGCUAGCUUAGGGGUCUGGGCCUUGAGCUGCAGGCUCACGGAAGGGGAGCUCCCUGGGGUGGCCUCAUCAGGGCUGGAGAAGGAUGCUGGCCCUGAUUCCUCCCCACUGGGUGCUCGCCUGGACCUGCAAGGAGUUUCUGAGCCCAGCUGGCCUUGUGCUUUUGGGGGUGUGAUGGGAGGGGUGGCUCAGGUCUGGGGCGCUGUGGGCGAGUAGGGGUCUCACCCCUGGAAGUAUCUGUGGCAUCUGUGGCACAGCUGGGAUGGGUAGAAGGGUGCAUGGUUCUGGUGAGGGGGAGCGGGUCUCAGCCGGUCCCCGUCCCCGGUGGCUGUGCUCCCUCUGUGCCCUUCAUUUUCUGACCAGCCCUAGGAGCAGAACCUAAAGAAACCGAACAAGGAAGCAGCAGGCGCAAAGAAAAGCAGAAGUGGAAACCUUAGAGACUUGACCCUCCUCCUUGAAGGGGCCUGAAGCCGCCUGGCACUGCCGUGGGUGACGUCUGUGCGGAGAAGAUGAGGUGGCCGGACCAGGCCGUGUGGCUGCUGUUGGCUCUGCUGCUUCUCUGGGUCCCAGGCUGUUCCUCUAUAAGUGGCCCCACCUCCGUGACGGGCACUGUGGGGGGAUCCCUGAUCGUGCAGUGUUCAUAUGAAGAGCAAUUAAGAACACAUUUCAAAUACUGGUGCAAAAGGCCAUGUUUGUGGAAAACUGUGGAGACCAAACGGUCAAGCAAAGAAGUGAGGAACGGCCGCGUAUCCAUCAGGGACCAUCCUGCAAACCUCACCUUCACAGUGACCUUGGAGAACCUUAUAGAGGAUGAUGCAGGAACAUACCGAUGUGGGAUCGAUACGUCCUGGUUAGGAGGAUAUUUGCAAGACCCCGCCGUCCACAUUGUGGUGUCUGUGAUCCCAGCAACAACGUCCGCCCCACCCGCAAACAUCACUGUAACCCAGAUCUCAACAAUCACAGCUGGAAUCACGACCACGUCAUCCUCAUCCUCACCCACUGUCCCCAUCACCAUGGGAGCCACCCACAGUGCAAGCAGCCAAGAGGAGUUCCAGCAAAGCCAGGGCGUGGGGCUCCAAGUACUCCUUUCCUUGUUGGCGCUUCUGCUGCUUCUGCUGGGGGGAAGCUUGCUCCUGGCCUGGAGGAUAGUUCGCAAAGCGGGUCAAAGAAUACUCUGCAAGGUGAGCUCUAUUAUGCGAAUCUGGAGCUGCAGACAAGGACGCUUCAGGGAGAGCCCACACAGCCGAGACAGGAAGAGGUAGAAUACAGCACUGUGCCCAACAAGUCGGCUGUUUGGGUGAACCCCUUAGUGCAGCUGGCCUUGGAGCUAGACAGAGGGAUUGGACAACUGUGUGUCUCCACUUUGUGGCUGUGUCUGGAAUCACACAUCUUGGAUUCCAAGCGGGGCGUGUUUGCUCCAGCUGGUAGGCUGAUGUGGAGGGAAUUCUGUGUUUUCCAGGUCAGUGCAGCUGAGCAGGGGAAGGGCCUGAAACAGGGUAAGGACAGGAAGACUCCUGCUUGCUUUGCAGUUCCCCUAACCAUCCACCCCGUGGAUGUCAUUGUGCUGAAAAUUCCAUUCCUCCCCAAACUUGAGCUCCCUUAUUUAGCACCCAAUUGCCUCUUCUCAAUUCCUGAAUUCUUCCCACCCUGACCUCAGCAUGUCAGAGGGAAGGGCAGUCGCCCCACCUGUAGCCAGUGUGGCAGAUUUGGGGUCAGACAGAACAGGUGUUAAAUCUCACAUCCGCCCUUACCAGCUCCACAUUCUGGGGUUGGCAUUCAAGGCCACCCCAGUCUGUUGGCUCAACCAUAACCAAGGAUGGCCUAGUUGUCCUCUGGUGCUUUUCCCCCUCGCCAGGCUGGUCAGAAGAAAGCUCUUUAUAAAGGCUCUCGCCACUCCCCCACCACACUGCCACCCCAAUCCUCUGUGCUGUUUUUUUGCCUCUGAGACUCUUUCCAGACACCCCCUCCUGGAUUUUCACUGCUGAGACUUCUUUGUUGCCAUUCCUUUGAUUUAUGGCUUGCUAGUCCUCAGCAACUUUCAACUUGACUCUUUGGACUCCCCUUUGCCUUACAUGCAAAUCUGAGCCACCUGGGGCAAAUGAACCACAACACAUCCUAACACCCAGGCCAAAGGCAAAUCCUGGGCUCCAUGUGUCUGGGAAGGAAAGCGGAAAAGGGCUGACAGUGUCUACUUUCAGCAUUGUUGACAGAGUCCAUGAUGCACCAAGCAGAGGCCUUGAACCAAAACCUGCUCUCCAGGGGUGGAGGGCAUCCUGUAUUUCACACCAGAGAGAAAGCAGUGAAGAAGAUACAUGCUGUCCCUUCCUUCUCUACCUUUCCCUAGUAGGGGGACAGAUAAUAAAAAUCACAGCCCGGUCAAUCAUUGGAGAGGCCUGGCCAGGUGUCUGGAAACAGGUAUCCUGUCCUCGCUCAGACUCAUGAGAAGUCUGGCUGGAAGGGAUGGAGGGGGCCAGACGUCACCCAUUCCACAGAUGUGAAAACUGAGGUCUGGGGAAGUGAAGGGGCGCACCCUAGUCUACACUGUACGGAGCCUGGAUUCAGGACCAGGCUCCAAAUAGGCCUGAGUCACCUUCUUCAAGCUGACUUCCUUCACCAGCCAAGUGGGUUUGAGACUAGCCUUACCCACCAGCUACAGCUGCGGGAGGGACAGUGGGAUGGGCAUUGAUUGAGGCGUGCCAGCUGUCAACGCGGUGCGUGUGCUCACAUUACCCAAUGUUAGUGGCGACCUGUGAUGUCACUUCCCCUCCCUCCCCUGACCACCUGUCGUCCAUGGAUUCUUUCUGAAUCCUUCUUGUAGGCACUUCUCCUUCCUUGUGAAUUUCAGGCAUAGCACGGCCAUUUAACAUGCAGGGGGGACACAGCGGUGGGAGGAAAGGAGAAUGUGUGUGAGUAGCAUGAGGGCUUGGAGUCCUUAACAGUCUUUUCCAGAAACAUCACUCUGGUGAAUUUGCCCGAGUCUGGUCCUCAGGCUUGCAAAUCUAGAACCCAGACUCCAUCCAGGCAAGUGGAAAGGCUCAGCUUUAUGAUACUCAACCCAAGGGACUUAUCUGGGGAAUAUUCCUUCCCAGGGAUCUGAAUGCCUUCAUGCCCUCCCCCAUUUUUCUGAUGUCAGCUCACUGGCAGGUUGCCUGAGUGGGCAGAAGGUAGCUCGGGAACGUGGGUGAGAGCAGGUGUCCCUGCACUGGGGGCUCCCCUUCCACAGCCAGGCUGGCUUCCAAUGGCCCCCUUGGUCUCUCCCUUCCUCUGGGUCCCAUCACCAGAUAACCUACUAUUGGCUUCCCAUUUUUGUCUAGAUUAGAGUCUCUCAAACUUGGCACUGUUCAAUGUUGUUGAGUGAUUGCUUUUGAAGAUCCAGUUCACAUUCUAUAAAUUCACCCUUUGAAAGUAUACAAAUCAGUGGUUCUCAGCAUAUGUACAAAGUUGUACAACCACUACCACUAUCUAAUUUCAGAACAUUUUUUUAUUCCCAAACAAAC
Molecule: RNA transcript, 4535 nt
Organism: Lynx canadensis (Canada lynx)
Lineage: Eukaryota; Metazoa; Chordata; Mammalia; Carnivora; Felidae
Gene: CD300A
Gene name: CD300a molecule
Exons: 8
Source: RefSeq, a predicted model, not a curated record